GAAAGGGAGGGCAACCCCCCCGGUAGAGUGGCGCACGGGUGAGUAACACGUGGGUAAUCUGCCCUCGAGUUCGGGAUAACCUCGGGAAACCCUGGCUAAUACCGGAUACGUCCAGAUGGACCUCGGUCCUUCUGGAGAAAGGUGGCCUCUGCUUGCAAGCUACCACUCUUGGAUGAGCCUGCGGACCAUUAGCUAGUUGGUGAGGUAACGGCUCACCAAGGCUGUGAUGGUUAGCUGGUCUGAGAGGAUGAUCAGCCACACUGGGACUGGAACACGGCCCAGACUCCUACGGGAGGCAGCAGUGGGGAAUCUUGCGCAAUGGGGGCAACCCUGACGCAGCAACGCCGCGUGGGUGAUGAAGGCCUUCGGGUCGUAAAGCCCUGUCAGGUGGGAAGAAUCCUCUCGGUGCGAACAGCGCCGGGAGAUGACGGUACCACCGGAGGAAGCACCGGCUAACUCCGUGCCAGCAGCCGCGGUAAUACGGAGGGUGCAAGCGUUGUUCGGAAUCACUGGGCGUAAAGCGCAUGUAGGCGGCCGAUUAUGUCGUGUGUGAAAUCCCUCGGCUCAACCGAGGAAGUGCGCACGAAACUGGUCGGCUUGAGUACGGGAGAGGAGGGUGGAAUUCCCGGUGUAGAGGUGAAAUUCGUAGAUAUCGGGAGGAACACCAGUGGCGAAGGCGACCCUCUGGACCGAUACUGACGCUGAGAUGCGAAAGCGUGGGGAGCAAACAGGAUUAGAUACCCUGGUAGUCCACGCUGUAAACGUUGGGCACUAGGUGUGGCGGGUGUUGACCCCUGCCGUGCCGAAGCUAACGCAUUAAGUGCCCCGCCUGGGGAGUACGG
This 842-nucleotide ribosomal RNA is filed under the name uncultured Pseudomonadota bacterium. Its description in RNAcentral is "bacterial SSU rRNA". It matches the Rfam family "Bacterial small subunit ribosomal RNA", at positions 68 to 885 of the family's 1533-position model. Lineage: Bacteria; Pseudomonadati; Pseudomonadota. The record is from RNAcentral.